GAUGAACGCUGGCGGCGUGCCUAAUACAUGCAAGUCGAGCGAACGGACGAGAAGCUUGCUUCUCUGAUGUUAGCGGCGGACGGGUGAGUAACACGUGGAUAACCUACCUAUAAGACUGGGAUAACUUCGGGAAACCGGAGCUAAUACCGGAUGAUAUUUUGAACCGCAUGGUUCAAAAGUGAAAGACGGUCUUGCUGUCACUUAUAGAUGGAUCCGCGCUGCAUUAGCUAGUUGGUAAGGUAACGGAUUACCAAGGCAACGAUGCAUAGCCGACCUGAGAGGGUGGUCGGCAACACUGGAACUGAGACACGGUCCAGACUCCUAAGGGAGGCAGCAGUAGGGAAUCUUCCGCGAUUGGCGAAAGCCUGACGGAGCAACGCCGCGUGAGUGAUGAAGGUCUUCGGAUCGUAAAACUCUGUUAUUAGGGAAGAACAUAUGUGUAAGUUACUGUGCACAUCUUGACGGUACCUAAUCAGAAAGCCACGGCUAACUACGUG
Molecule: ribosomal RNA, 497 nt
Filed under: uncultured bacterium
Lineage: Bacteria
Description: partial 16S ribosomal RNA
Rfam family: Bacterial small subunit ribosomal RNA
Source: RNAcentral